This 497-nucleotide ribosomal RNA is filed under the name uncultured bacterium. Its description in RNAcentral is "partial 16S ribosomal RNA". It matches the Rfam family "Bacterial small subunit ribosomal RNA", at positions 28 to 507 of the family's 1533-position model. The record is from RNAcentral.
GAUGAACGCUGGCGGCGUGCCUAAUACAUGCAAGUCGAGCGAACAGGCGCGACGCUUGCUUCUCGGAUGUUAGCGGAGGACGUGAGAAUAACACGUGGAUAACCCACCUAUAAGACUGGGAACACUUCGGGAAACCGGAGCUAAUACCGGAUAAUCUUUUGAUGCGCAUGGUUCAAUAGUGAGAGACGGUCUUGCGGUCACGUCUAGAUGCAUCCGCGCUGCAUUAGCUAGUUGGUAAGGUAACAGCUUACCAAGGCUACUAUGCAUAAACGACCGGCGAGGGUGAUCGGCGACACUGGAGCUGAGACACCGUCCAGACUACUACGGGAGGCAGCAGUAGGGAAUCGUCCGCAGUGGGCGGAAGCCUGACGGAGUAAGGCGGCGCGAGAGAUGGAGGCGUCCGGAGCGUAAUACUCUGUUAUGAGUUAAGAACAUAUUUGUAAGUUACUGUGCAGUGCGUGACGGUACCGAAUCAGAAAGCCACGGCUAACUACGUG